This 7701-nucleotide long non-coding RNA is filed under the name Gallus gallus (chicken). The record is from RNAcentral. Lineage: Eukaryota; Metazoa; Chordata; Aves; Galliformes; Phasianidae.
CGGCCGUUAACAAGGAUCACCUGCUUCGAGAAGGACACUGAGAGAAGGGGUUGAUCGCUGCCUGAUCCGGUAGGGAAGAAAAAAAAAAAGGCUCGGGAUGAUUUGGGGAAGAAAAGAAGGAACGGAGCUACGGAGGGUGAUGACACCGCGCCGGGAAGAGCCGCUCCUUCCCCACCCCGUCACCAUGAAUGGGUUACAGCGCCGGGAGCGGGCGCGCCGGGAAGGGGGCGGGGCCUACUGCCAUAUUAGGGAUUCUCAUUUGCAUAGCGCGCUCUGAUUGGAGAAGCGAGGGCAGUUCUGAGCCGCUCGGCAGCAGCCCCGGCCCCGAACAACCCCCGGAGCGCGGCGGCGCGGGGCUGUCCCGGCGCGGGGCGACACCGCCGCGUCCCACCCGGGGACCGCAGCGCCCCGCCGGACCUCCUCCGUCCCGGCCUCGUAAAGCAGCCGCACACGCAGCCGCUGAUCGCUUUCAAGCGCGAUAUUUGAAAACACCACCACCACCACACACACCCCGAAACGUUCGGAUGGGGCUCUGUGUGAGGGGAUGGGGGCACGAGAGGCCGCCCCACCCGCAGCACUCCCCGUGCACGGGGCUGUCAGCCCGAACCUGAACACUUUGCGUUAAACCGAUGUAGGAAAACAUUCCCCGGUAAAGGACAGCGGAGUUGACCCGGCCGGCUACAUAGCGGGCCGCUCUGGUUUUAUUUUAUAAAGCCAUUUGGGCUCGCUGCUAUUUUCCUUCUGUGUUCUGAUCCGGGCAUAGAUCUGCCUCCGAAAUCCAUAUAACACCAACGCGAAAACAGAUUUCAAGACAAUGAAUGCAAAUCUGUGCUCAGAGACCAUCUGCCAGAUGAGGGAAUCAGAUGUUCGGUAGUUAAAGGGACAGCGCGAGGAUUUCCUCCGCUCAUUAUGCGCAGCUCCUCUCUCCAACCCGCUUUAUUUUAUAACGGGAUGAGAUUCAGACCGAAAUUCAAGCUGUGCUUUCAGCUCCUGCUUCCAUUGCCAUUUCGCGGAGCCACCUUCCUAAUACGCGUCAGACUGAUACGGUUUGAUACGGUUCUCCUAAAAUAAUUACCGAAAAAGAUCGCAAAUAAAAGUCUUCCUAUAAGGUUUUCAUAGAAAUGCUUCCUUAAUUCAGCCCAAAGCCGGGACUGAAUUAUUCUGUCCACACGAGUGACAGAUAUGGCAGGAGAUGAACCCAUCCAUCCCACACCAUCGCUGUUAAGGAGAUUUACCACCCGAACGCACCUCCCCAAAGCGAUCCGUGCGCAAUGAGCGACCCGAGCAGGGCAGCAAAAGGGGCAUUGCUGAAUAAAAGCAGCAGUUCGGUGCUGCGGUCCCCACUGAGAAACCGCACCUCACGGCUCCAAGAUUAAAACUUAGAAAAAGAGGGUGAUGUACUCAAAGCAAAGGUAUGAGAGAAUAAGAACGUACUGCGUGAAGGGACGGGGACUUUUUGUCGCCACCCCCACAACAGGCACGGGUCCGUUCCCUCAGCUCAAUGUCCCCUCUUUGUAACAGGAUCGUUUUUGGCAGUGCCACCCCGAUCGUUUCCGCAUCAAUCCCUAAAGCCGGGGCAGGGAUGGGAGGGGGUGGCGGUGGAAUUCCCACCCGAGCGAACCUUGGCUGAUGUAUUCACAAGGAGAAAGUGUUUCCUAAGAGCCGAAGUCUCUCGCUCGCAGUGAUACAGCCGAGUCUGCCCCUGUUAGAGGCGCUCCGGUCGGACUGAAGGCAGCUGCUCGUUCAGUCGCAGCGAAACGCUCAGGAAAGCCCGGUGGGUUCCGGGACCGUGCCGGCUUUAGGGACAAUGGGGACUCGUGUGCCGUGGCCCCGGGGGAGCGGUGCUUUUAGGGAUUCAUAGCGGGUCAGAGGGCAGCGGCGCGGGUCAGAGGAGACGCGCUCCCCUCGCCCCAAACAGCUGCCACCAGAAUUCGGCACUUCAGGGGCAAACGAGCGGAGCCGUUCCCCGGUGGCUCAGCGGGGCUGUGGCCGUGGGGCAGCCCGGGCUCCCUACGCAGUACCCGCGGGAUGGAGGGGGGUCGUGGGCUCAGCCCCACACUGGCGAGAGGGGGGGGGGUUCCCGGUGGGGAGUGGGGAUUUCCUUCCCAACCCCCUAAAGUUCCUUUCCUUUGCAAUGUAUCUCAAUGAGGCAGCACUUAAGCACUUCUAAAUUCUGAACUCCGGGUCUGGAAUCCCUACUUCGAGCGGCCGGGUUAGGCACAGUUUGCGGACAGCACAUCCCUCAACCUCUCCCGAUGUUAAGUUCUCCAAGCGAAAUCAGCAUUGACGUCGGUGCAGCCGCUGCGGAGGUCACUGCGGUUCGGUUAGGGGAGUCCGUUCCAGCGGCAAGCGACAGGGAGAAAAAGUGGAGGAGGAAAGUCAGGCUACAGCCAGUGAAGGCACCGAGAUGGAAGCACUUCGUUCUCGCUCUUGAAUUCGUGGGAAUUCAGUAUCCUUCAGUUGUCCCAAGGGAACAAAUCGUAGGUUAAAAUUGUCAGUGUCGGAGGGGAAAGGAUAACUCCUCGUUCCCUCUUCGCCCGACAAUCUCAGCGAGUUUCAUUCCACAGCCGCACCAGAAAAUAACCGCCUCGUUGUCAAACACUUCACAUUUAAGCCCUCCACAAAGCAAGCUGCUAGCAUGCAAACACGCACCCGUGGUCUCGAAAGCACGCAACGGUAUUUGAGAAACGAAGAGCUCCCCGAAAAUAACUUCCUGGAGCCCAACAGCAGAGCCAUCAACGCAAUGAGAGCACACGGUGCCGAGAAGCAGUGAGAGGUUGUGAUGCUGACUCGGGUUUUAAGGGCAUGGGGCACUCAGAGCACGGACACAGCUCUGCUUUACACGGCUGCUCCGAUUCAACGUAAGCCUCAUUUACAGGAUGGCCCAUUUCACUGAAAUGGGAAUGUUUGGAGUAAGGACAGCCUAUUAAAGUAUUCAAUACAAGAGGUUUAAAGCAGUGCAGGUGCAACUAAAUCAUAAAUGCAGGCUGCGCUCUUAACUGGCAAUGCUGUGUGCAAGACAGGGGUGUGAAAAUGCAGUGUGUUGGGUUACAUCUAUUCUAGAACCUUUUGUUUGCUUUAAGUUCUGCCUUAUCUCAGAAGCAAAGCACUUGAUUUGAUGGUUGGAAAAAGUUUCAUCUCCAAAUAUAGGAUUGCUCUCUAUUCCUCCUCCCUACGCUAUUUGGAAGCAUCUAGAAAUAAGGUUUCACAGCUGGCAGAUCCUGAGCUGUACCUGCCCCUUCCCCUUGUGCCAUAAGGGGAUGCCAACUGGAGCCAACUCUCCCUGCUGAUCAGUGCAUCAUUUGGAGAUGCACACAUCCCAUUUAUAAGCACUGAACAAAAAAAUGCUUUCUAACUUACAAAUGCAUAAGUAAACAUUUGAUAACUUCACCACCACCUCAUCUUCCCCAAAUAGAAAAGACUGUAACCAUCACAUCCUCAAGUCCUCCAUUCAUUCCAGUAAGUAGGUGCUUUUCUCACUAGAACAGAAAAGCACAUCUGCUAGGUUUUAUAUCCAGCUUUUUAAGAUACUUUUACUGCCUUUUGCCUAGCAUAGCUUUUGGAACACGUUAGCAAAUAUUUUACCAUUGGGAGUGUAUGUUCCAUUUUAUUUUAUAAUGCAGACUUAGAAGCCCCAGCACUGAGUUUGUUUCUCUAAGCAUACAGAGCCUCAAACUAACAAGCACAUUUGGGAAGAACACUUCAGGUGGGUCUAUGUUUGUGCUGGAAGUCCCCCUCAUUUUCCAGCUUACGGAAAACAAUGAAGGUCAGCUUCCAAUGUAUCUUAGGAUAUCAAUUACCCAUGUUGAUCUUCAACUCAAGAAGCAAAAUUUGGGUUAUCAGAGCCUUUAUAUAGUUCCACCACACACACUUUGUGACAGAACUCCAGCUGGGAAAUGCAUCCUCCAUAAGAAACCAGACAAAUGCAGACACACUGAAGAGCAGAAUCACAUCCACUCAUUAACAUGAGCCUAAAGCAGUCCCCAGUCCUAUGAACAUUCUUAUCCUUAACCUAUAUUAGCCACCAGAGUGGUCUUACAAGAAUUACUUGACAAUAUACACAUGCUUAACCAUCUGUACAGCGUGGGCCUCCUUUUUAUUUCUUGACUCAACUCAAUUCUGUCUUAAACAGGUGUCUAAUUUCCAUUACAUGAAUACUCAAUCUGAAGCCAUGCCACAGGGACACUCUGCCAACUCACUUCCCCUCUUUAAGCCCCACACUGGAUGAUAAUCUGAUUUUUUUCCCAUGUUUCAAAAUAUAAAGAGCUGUGAACACAACUUUUUGUAGGAGGAACCUGAACCCAGUGAGCAAGGAAACUCACUUAUCAAGAUUCUGAAUCUGGCUGGAGGUUAUUGGUGCUGCCAUCAUACAAAUUACCAGGAAGGAGAAGAUCUCUCUUGGGGAUGGUCAAUAAUCAAAACAUCUGCCUUCCAUGCCUCCUUUUAAAGCAUCUGGUACUUGAAGCUAAGAUAUAACAUACAAGAAGCUUAAUCUAAUCUGACUAGUCCUAUGUUCUUUCCAUAAGGCAAGAAGGAAGUAGUUAGAAGCUCAGUAUAUCAUAAUUAGAGCUUCACAACAUUGGAGAGACAGCUCUGCUCUUCUCUGAAGUGUAUUUAAUAAUUUCAAGAGUAUUGCAGUGUUUUUCUUCUUGAUUUGGUAGAACUGAACCCAUUGCACUCCUGACUCCAUGAAGCUCACUGGACUCCACCCGCAGCAAACCACAUUUCAGCAGCUGCCAGUCUGCGUGACCAGAUUCUGAUCCUGCAAAUGUUUGCACUUUCAUACAGGCAGUGAGGCUGAGGAUCCAUAGCACCAAUGGUUCACAGCAGAUUUCUACAGGGUGAGGGUCCCACAACUCCAAGCUUCCAUUUUUUGAGUUCAUUCUAAAUUAUUAGCACCUACCUCCAUUCCAGACCCUUCCUAGGGGAAGGAGCAAUCCACCAUGAGUUUUACACCUCCUGUGCUAUUCGGUUACCAUUUACCAUCUGAACUGUUUCUUUCAUCACUACUUCAGUAUUCAUUUUUAGAGUAAAUAGAGAUGCUUUGAAAUUUACACAUACCUAAAUGGUUCUGCUACUUAAAAGGAUCUGGGCAGCCUGACUGGACAUCAUUACAUUUCCAUCAUCAGUAUUAGUUAGAUGGGGGAAAGUAAUAUUUUACUAAAUAAGCUGAUACUAUUCCUAGUAAAGAGCAUUGCUAAUAUACUUAAAAUGAAAGGCUGUACCACGUGCCCCCUGCAACCAAGCUGAGACACUGCAACAGAAGGAAAGAAUGCCCUUUAACUUUGUGCCUGACAGAUAUAUCAUAUACCCAAAUAUAACAACUUUAACUGCAGCUUCUCAAGCAUGUUUUCCAUAAGCAGAAACUCACAUCAAAGAUGAAAGCUGAGGACAGAUAGUCCGUACACACCGGCAGAAGAUGGACCCAAGGCUUGAUGGGUGGUAUCAUGCCUGGGCACACAGAUAAGGCUCUUCUGGAGGCAUUCUAGGGAAAUAUCCAAAUAUGAACAGACAGCAUGAGAAGCAGAUCUCUUUCUACAGGCUCUAGGAUUCAGUCAGUCCACAUUAAGAAAUCAAGCUAAGGGCAUUAAAUUCAGAUUAGCUGAUAUCUGAUAAGAGCAGAAGUCAGAUUAGAGUCUCACUGGUGAAGGAUCAUUGUUAGCACAACAAAAAGGCACCUUUAAAACAAUCAGAGUCAGACUGUGCAGCAGGUAGGUAUGCCUAAAGUAGACUUCAUUGUGAGCCACGAGAUUUUAAGUAGUAACAAGCCUUGAGAUCAGCUCAGGCAUGUUUUCCUUACUUAGUGUUUCUCCCAUAGAUGGGAGAAUAAGAAUUGUCCCAUUAGCCACAGUUCAUCAGAAGGUGUCUGUGUUGGGGACAGUCCUCUCAGGGCAGGCCACCCUAGUGUUAUAGUCAUUGCACACCAGUUGGAUAAUACCAGGCCAGAAGGGGAAUGGAAGAAACCAGUUUUCCACAUGCAUCUUCCCCUGGUAUUGAGCUACUGGAGAAAGCAGUACAAUAAAGCUUUGGCCACUCCAAGUCCACAGGAUGUCAAUGACAACAGAACUGAUGAAUGGGUUCAGAGGGGUUCAGAAAAGCACCCCAAGCAGAUAAAGCUUUGCCAUCCACAUGUACUCUUUGGCUUUAGAGAAGGAAAACACACUGUUGUUUUCAAGAGCAUGUGUUCUGAGCAUCUGAAGGGUAGAAUAUGUUGGAGCAUAUGGCAUAUAAUAUCUUUUUCCAUUCAUAAUCUGCAGCAAGACAGCAAAAAUCAGUUCUACUAAGUACAGGCUCCAGCUUUCAUUUGAAAACAUUUCCAGUGUGAUGUCUUUCCAGCAGGCCUACUUAGGCAUCAUCUAGACAGACAAUUAUCAAAGUAGCUGGAUGUUUUCAUAGCAAUAGAUGGGCUAUGGAAUUUGCUUAUAGCAAGUCCACGCCAAAUCACUGUAAGACUCCCCUGCUUGCUACUUCCACUGCUGGGUUGCAAAUACAAACAGUGUGGGUGCUAGCAAUGUGCUCUGCUUAUGUGCCACCCUAGUUACUGGUGUCUUACACAGAUGGAAUAAAGCUCCUUCACUGCACAGCUCACAGUCCAAACUUCACAAGAAAGUGAUAAGAGAACAGAUGCACACAAAAGGAAAGCCAAGAGAAGAUAUGAUUUCACCUGAGGACCACACACUGCAGCAUGAAGUCACUCUAGGACAGUCACUCAUUUUCCAAGACUCAGUAUCUGUUUAUUUCCCUUUCACUACAAUCACUUAUUUGGUCAAAGAAUUCUCCAAGUAAUCCAUGAGAUAACCUACAGUAACCACAGCUGCCUUAAAUGUUUCCAAAUAGGCCAUGCUUUAUCCUUCACCUUGAAGAGAAUCUCAUGCCCCACCAGCUUGUGCCCCAACAGUUCCAACAUCUGAAAUUCUCAUUUUCUGCUAUGGAGCUGGUCCAGGUUGUCACUUCAGAAAGCCUUCCAGUGGAGGAUGCAAUCAGCUCUUCCCCACGUGCACCCCUGCACCCAGGGCUUCCUGCACUGACCUUGACUGGUCUGUGCUGUGAGCAGCAGGAGGGGGCUGGGUACCACCACCACACACUGUGCAGAAUGCCAGACUGCAAAGCAGCACAGCAUGCACAGCCUCCAGAGGGGUAAAGCAUUUCACAAGAUGGUUUAUGGCAUCUUCUUUCUUUCCCCCUCCCACGUAGAGUAUGAAUAAUGUUAAUGGUGACAGGGCCUACAGGCAAUAAAAGGCCUUUGCAGGUAGCAAACAGCUUCAAACUUUGCUUUGGCUCUCUGCCAGCCACUACAGCCAGUCAGAAUUUCCUAUUAGAGCUUAGGACCAGUGUCCAGCAAGUAAUGACAUGGCCUUAUUGGCUUCCAGUGUGAAGGCAGAUAGGAAGCUGGGUUUUGACUUAAAAGAUCCCAAACUGAAAAAGAGGAAAUUGGCAUUUCACACGUAUCUGCCACUGAUUUAAUACAUACCUACUGUGUAAGGAAAUCCUUACUAUUCUCAUAAUCAGCUGAGAAGGGUCAAAACAAGUAUUAAUUGCAAAGCCAGACAAUGAAAACUGCUUCUUGGAUCAUCAUCCCUUGUUGAAACAGCACAUAAAGCCCAAACCAAGAGUGUAUGGCCCCUCUCUCAAUAUGCAUUUGUAAAAGAGUUCCAAAGAGCUUUAGUGUUGCAAGAAAUAAACUGCAAUUUGAAAUAUAAG